GGGCCGUUAGCUCAACCAGGCAGAGCACCUGACUCUUAAUCAGUAGGUUGAAGGUUCGAUUCCUUCACGGCCCA
This is a non-coding RNA of Desulfobacterales bacterium C00003106, 74 nucleotides long. NCBI's taxonomy places the organism in Bacteria, Pseudomonadati, Thermodesulfobacteriota, Desulfobacteria, Desulfobacterales. The record is from Rfam.